UCGGGAAUCUUCGGCAAUGGACGAAAGUCUGACCGAGCAACGCCGCGUGAGUGAAGAAGGUUUUCGGAUCGUAAAACUCUGUUGUUAGAGAAGAACAAGGACGUUAGUAACUGAACGUCCCCUGACGGUAUCUAACCAGAAAGCCACGGCUAACUACGUGCCAGCAGCCGCGGUAAUACGUAGGUGGCAAGCGUUGUCCGGAUUUAUUGGGCGUAAAGCGAGCGCAGGCGGUUUCUUAAGUCUGAUGUGAAAGACCCCGGCUCAAGCGGGGAGGGUCAUUGGAAACUGGGAGACUUGAGUGCAGAAGAGGAGAGUGGAAUUCCAUGUGUAGCGGUGAAAUGCGUAGAUAUAUGGAGGAACACCAGUGGCGAAGGCGGCUCUCUGGUCUGUAACUGACGCUGAGGCUCGAAAGCGUGGGGAGCAAACAGG
RNAcentral lists this ribosomal RNA (429 nucleotides) under Gemmatimonadota bacterium. Its description in RNAcentral is "Gemmatimonadetes bacterium partial 16S ribosomal RNA". It matches the Rfam family "Bacterial small subunit ribosomal RNA", at positions 355 to 776 of the family's 1533-position model. The record is from RNAcentral. Lineage: Bacteria; Pseudomonadati; Gemmatimonadota.